RNAcentral lists this ribosomal RNA (253 nucleotides) under uncultured bacterium. RNAcentral describes it as "partial 16S ribosomal RNA". It matches the Rfam family "Bacterial small subunit ribosomal RNA", at positions 524 to 776 of the family's 1533-position model. The record is from RNAcentral.
UACGUAGGGUGCGAGCGUUGUCCGGAAUCACUGGGCGUAAAGCGCACGUAGGCGGCUUGCUAAGUCAGGGGUGAAAUCCUGGAGCUCAACUCCAGAACUGCCUUUGAUACUGGCGAUCUUGAGUCCGGGAGAGGUGAGUGGAACUGCGAGUGUAGAGGUGAAAUUCGUAGAUAUUCGCAAGAACACCAGUGGCGAAGGCGGCUCACUGGCCCGGUACUGACGCUGAGGUGCGAAAGCGUGGGGAGCAAACAGG